ACCUGGAUAUCUCAGCUGGCAGAGCAUCAGACUUUUACUCUGAGGGUCCAGGGUUCAAGUCCCUGUUCAGGCG
This 73-nucleotide transfer RNA is filed under the name Nomascus leucogenys (northern white-cheeked gibbon). RNAcentral's name for it is "tRNA-Lys (TTT) (tRNA-Lys-TTT-9 1 to 3)". It matches the Rfam family "tRNA". Rfam says of the family: Transfer RNA (tRNA) molecules are approximately 80 nucleotides in length. The record is from Rfam by way of RNAcentral. Lineage: Eukaryota; Metazoa; Chordata; Mammalia; Primates; Hylobatidae.